This 266-nucleotide unclassified non-coding RNA is filed under the name fungal sp. RNAcentral describes it as "partial internal transcribed spacer region". The stretch from base 1 to 46 matches the Rfam family "Eukaryotic small subunit ribosomal RNA", at positions 1786 to 1831 of the family's 1831-position model. Lineage: Eukaryota; Fungi. The record is from RNAcentral.
AAGUCGUAACAAGGUUUCCGUAGGUGAACCUGCGGAAGGAUCAUUACCAAUCCACCUUUUACAAACCACUGUGAACCGUUCCUGUCCUUGGGUGGGCAGGAGGAUCGCCUAGCGGCUUUCCAAUAGCCCACCCAAACUGUUUUUGCAAAACCACUUAUAUCAACCUCAUCUGUUGAAACUUUUCUUUGCGGCUAUCUUAUUAUGGCUCAAAGAAAUCUAUAUAACAAAAAGAAAUACAACUUUUAACGGUGGAUCUCUUGGCUCAU